RNAcentral lists this unclassified non-coding RNA (176 nucleotides) under Borreliella afzelii. RNAcentral's name for it is "partial rrf-rrl intergenic spacer". The record is from RNAcentral. Lineage: Bacteria; Pseudomonadati; Spirochaetota; Spirochaetia; Spirochaetales; Borreliaceae.
GGUUUUUAUUUUAUACUUUAAACUUUGAAUUUAUUUUUUAAAUGUUUAUAUUAUUUGAAUAAAACAUUCAAAUAAUAUAAAAAAUAAUAUAUAUAUUGACAUGGAUUAAACAAACGAUAUAUAUUAUUCUAUGUUGUAUAAACAAAUUGGCAAAAUAGAGAUGGAAGAUAAAAAUA